This 925-nucleotide ribosomal RNA is filed under the name uncultured archaeon. RNAcentral describes it as "bacterial SSU rRNA". It matches the Rfam family "Archaeal small subunit ribosomal RNA", at positions 21 to 921 of the family's 1478-position model. The record is from RNAcentral.
CCCCACUGCUAUCGGGAUAGGACUAAGACAUGCUAGUCAAGCGCUCUCAAGCCAACAAGAGAGUGCGGCACACAGCUCAGUAACACGUGGCUAACCUGCCCUCGAGACGGAAACAACCCCGGGAAACUGGGGCUAACUCCUGAUAGGCGAAGAGCUCUGGAAUGAGCCUUCACCACAAAAGGCGAUUAGGUUAUGCUCCUAGUCGUCACUCGAGGAUGGGGCCGCGACCGAUCAGGUUGUUGGUGAGGUAAUGGCUCACCAAGCCUUUGACCGGUGCGGGCCGUGGGAGCGGGAGCCCGGAGAUGGGCACUGAGACAAGGGCCCAGGCCCUACGGGGCGCAGCAGUCGCGCAAACUUUGCAAUACACAAAAGUGUGACAGGGCUAUCCCGAGUGCCUUCCGCUGAGGAUGGCUUUUACCCAGUCUAGAAAGCUGGGAGAAUAAGGAGAGGGCAAGUCUGGUGUCAGCCGCCGCGGUAAUACCAGCUCUCCGAGUGGUGUGGAUGUUUAUUGGGCCUAAAGCAUCCGUAGCUGGCCAAGCCAGUCCCCUGUUAAACCCAACGAAUUAAUCGUUGGAUUGCGGGGGAUACUGCUCGGCUAGGGGACGAGAGAGGCCGACGGUAUUCUCGGGGUAGGGGUGAAAUCCUAUAAUCCCGAGAAGACUACCAGUGGCGAAGGCUGUCGGCUAGAACGAGCCCGACGGUGAGGGAUGAAAGCUGGGGGAGCGAACCGGAUUAGAUACCCGGGUAGUCCCAGCUGUAAACGAUGCACGCUAGGUGUUUGGACGGCCACGUGCCGUUCUAGUGCCGCAGGGAAGCUGUUAAGCCUGCCGCCUGGGGAGUACGAUCGCAAGGUUGAAACUUAAAGGAAUUGGCGGGGGAGCACCACAAGGGGUGAAGCUUGCGGUUUAAUUGGAUUCAACGCCGG